Molecule: non-coding RNA, 1344 nt
Organism: Paramisgurnus dabryanus
Lineage: Eukaryota; Metazoa; Chordata; Actinopteri; Cypriniformes; Cobitidae
Source: RefSeq, a predicted model, not a curated record
UGUACCACUACACUGAUUUUGCAGCGUCUUUCCCCCUUUCUUCUUUAACAUAAUGGUAUAGUCCUAGUCUGUCUUUCCAUUUGAUUGGACGCAUCGAGUGCCACAUGCAAAUAGGUCCCGCCUCUGCCUGCGGCUGAAGAUGCAGCUCUCUUGCUGACGGGAGCCGGCUCUUCUAGUUGGCUACAAAGAAUCGGCUCAGAGCAGGCUCGUUGCAAACGAUUCAUCAUUACUGUACGCAGUAGUGAUUGGCAGUCCGGCUAUUUCCGUAGAUGCGGCUCUCUCGGCUCAAGCUCCGGCUCUACGUUUUAGUGAUGGCAGUCCGGCUCUUUUCAUAGAUACGGAUCUUCUGACUCGGCUUUUUAGAAGAGCCGGCUCUUACGGUCCCACCCCUGCCUGCGUCUGAAGAUUCGGUUCUGCUCGUUUGCUACAAAGAAUCAGCUCUUGGAGCCGGCUCGUUCGCGAACGACCCAUCACUAGUACGCAUGCGUUGUUUGUUUUGUCGUCGUUGGUGGAUAAGCUGUUGUGUCGUGUAUCAUAAAGUUGCUGGUGUUCUUAAACAAAGAUGCCACGUAAAAAGGGGUUCCGGAGAUCUGAGGCGGCUAAGAGGCGCAUGGCUGUUGUCAGUCAUGUUGAGCCUCUUGUAAAAAUACCCGCAUAUGAGGUUGGGCCUCCUCUCAAAAGUGCUCCAAUACCGACAAUUUAUUGUCCCAAAACUGUCAAUGAGAAAGUCCAUGUGACUGCCAAAACUGUCAAUGAGAAAGUCCAUGGGACUGCCAAAACUGUCAAUGAGAAAGUCCACGCGACUGCCAAUAAAACUGUCAUUGAAACUGUCAUUGAAACUGUCAUUGAGAAAGUCCAUGGGACUGCCAAUAAAACUGUCAUUGAGAAAGUCCAUGGGACUGCCAAUAAAACUGUCAUUGAGAAAGUCAAUGGGACUGCCAAUAAAACUGUCAUUGAGAAAGUCCAUGGGACUGCCUAUAAGACUGUCAAUGAGAAAGUGCAUGUGAUUGACAAGGUAUCUGCCAAUGAAGCUGAUAAAGUACUGGAUGGAGCAGUUAUAAGAGGAUCGUUCAGUCAAGACGAUAUGCGAUUUGGUAGUACAAGAAAUAAGCAGUGUGCGGCUAUUAGUUUAACAUCUGUACUUCAGCACUGUGUAAAAAAUGUUUUGACAUGGCAAACUGCAGAUUUGGAUAAUGUACUGAAUAAGGGAAAUGACCUUUAUGUUGUUUUAAAAAAUACAAGGCAAAUAGGAAAAGGCCAGUGUGAAUACAUAUUGAUUCCAGAACUUCCCAGAACAUGUAUGUACUGUGACAAAUAUUUUGAAAUAAAGUUUGGUUCAUCUUU